GUACUGCUGAGGAGUCCCACAAUUGGACGAAACGGCCGUCCAGUGC
RNAcentral lists this non-coding RNA (46 nucleotides) under Schistosoma bovis. The record is from RNAcentral. RNAcentral also lists the same sequence under 1 other name. Lineage: Eukaryota; Metazoa; Platyhelminthes; Trematoda; Strigeidida; Schistosomatidae.